GAUGAACGCUGGCGGCGUGCCUAAUACAUGCAAGUCGAGCGAACAGACGAGGAGCUUGCUCCUCUGAUGUUAGCGGCGGACGGGUGAGUAACACGUGGAUAACCUACCUAUAAGACUGGGAUAACUUCGGGAAACCGGAGCUAAUACCGGAUAACAUGUUGAACCGCAUGGUUCAACAGUGAAAGACGGUCUUGCUGUCACUUAUAGAUGGAUCCGCGCCGCAUUAGCUAGUUGGUAAGGUAACGGCUUACCAAGGCAACGAUCCGUAGCCGACCUGAGAGGGUGAUCGGCCACACUGGAACUGAGACACGGUCCAGACUCCUACGGGAGGCAGCAGUAGGGAAUCUGCCGCAAUGGGCGAAAGCCUGACGGAGCAACGCCGCGUGAGUGAAGAAGGUCUUCGGAUCGUAAAACUCUGUUAUUAGGGAAGAACAAAUGUGUAAGUAACUAUGCACGUCUUGACGGUACCUAAUCAGAAAGCCACGGCUAACUACGUG
RNAcentral lists this ribosomal RNA (497 nucleotides) under uncultured bacterium. RNAcentral describes it as "partial 16S ribosomal RNA". It matches the Rfam family "Bacterial small subunit ribosomal RNA", at positions 28 to 507 of the family's 1533-position model. The record is from RNAcentral.